UACGUAGGGACCAAGCGUUGUUCGGAUUUACUGGGCGUAAAGGGCGCGCAGGCGGCUUAACAAGUCACUUGUGAAAUCUCUGGGCUUAACCCAGAACGGCCAAGUGAAACUGUUAUGCUAGAGUGCAGAAGGGGCAAUCGGAAUUCUUGGUGUAGCGGUGAAAUGCGUAGACAUCAAGAGGGACACCUGAGGUGAAGACGGGUUGCUGGGCUGACACUGACGCUGAGGCGCGAAAGCCAGGGGAGCAAACGGG
Molecule: ribosomal RNA, 253 nt
Filed under: uncultured bacterium
Lineage: Bacteria
Description: partial 16S ribosomal RNA
Rfam family: Bacterial small subunit ribosomal RNA
Source: RNAcentral